Molecule: long non-coding RNA, 1278 nt
Filed under: Nothobranchius furzeri (turquoise killifish)
Lineage: Eukaryota; Metazoa; Chordata; Actinopteri; Cyprinodontiformes; Nothobranchiidae
Description: lncRNA (ENSNFUG00015003144.1)
Source: RNAcentral
AUGGUGGGUCCUUGUAGUUUUAUAAACUGUGUGAUGGUGGGUCCUUGUAGUUUUAUAAACUGUGUGAUGGUGGGUCCUUGUAGUUUUAUAAACGGUGUGACAGUGGGUUAUUGUAGUUUUAAAAACUGUGUGAUGGUGGGUCCUUGUAGUUUUAUAAACUGUGUGAUGGUGGGUCCUUGUAGUUUUAUAAACUGUGUGAUGGUGGGUCCUUGUAGUUUUAUAAACUGUGUGAUGGUGGGUCCUUGUAGUUUUAUAAACUGUGUGAUGGUGGGUCCUUGUAGUUUUAUAAACUGUGUGAUGGUGGGUCCUUGUAGUUUUAUAAACUGUGUGAUGGUGGGUCCUUGUAGUUUUAUAAACUGUGUGAUGGUGGGUCCUUGUAGUUUUAUAAACUGUGUGAUGGUGGGUCCUUGUAGUUUUAUAAACUGUGUGAUGGUGGGUCCUUGUAGUUUUAUAAACUGUGUGAUGGUGGGUCCUUGUAGUUUUAUAAACUGUGUGAUGGUGGGUCCUUGUAGUUUUAUAAACUGUGUGAUGGUGGGUCCUUGUAGUUUUAUAAACUGUGUGAUGGUGGGUCCUUGUAGUUUUAUAAACUGUGUGAUGGUGGGUCCUUGUAGUUUUAUAAACUGUGUGAUGGUGGGUCCUUGUAGUUUUAUAAACUGUGUGAUGGUGGGUCCUUGUAGUUUUAUAAACUGUGUGAUGGUGGGUCCUUGUAGUUUUAUAAACUGUGUGAUGGUGGGUCCUUGUAGUUUUAUAAACUGUGUGAUGGUGGGUCCUUGUAGUUUUAUAAACUGUGUGAUGGUGGGUCCUUGUAGUUUUAUAAACUGUGUGAUGGUGGGUCCUUGUAGUUUUAUAAACUGUGUGAUGGUGGGUCCUUGUAGUUUUAUAAACUGUGUGAUGGUGGGUCCUUGUAGUUUUAUAAACUGUGUGAUGGUGGGUCCUUGUAGUUUUAUAAACUGUGUGAUGGUGGGUCCUUGUAGUUUUAUAAACUGUGUGAUGGUGGGUCCUUGUAGUUUUAUAAACUGUGUGAUGGUGGGUCCUUGUAGUUUUAUAAACUGUGUGAUGGUGGGUCCUUGUAGUUUUAUAAACUGUGUGAUGGUGGGUCCUUGUAGUUUUAUAAACUGUGUGAUGGUGGGUCCUUGUAGUUUUAUAAACUGUGUGAUGGUGGGUCCUUGUAGUUUUAUAAACUGUGUGAUGGUGGGUCCUUGUAGUUUUAUAAACUGUGUGACAGUGGGUUCUUGUAGUUUUAUAAACUGUGUGAUGGUGGUCCUUGUAGUUUUUUAA